CGCCUUUUGAGUUAUUAACAUAAAAGGUCCUGCCUGCCCAGUGACAUCUGUUUCAACGGCCGCGGUAUCAUGACCGUGCAAAGGUAGCGUAAUCACUUGUCUUUUAAAUAGAGACCAGUAUGAAUGGCAAGACGAAAGCCUAACUGUCUCCCUGAGUUAGUCAAUAAAAUUGAUCUUCCCGUGCAGAAGCGGGAAUAAUAAUAUAAGACGAGAAGACCCUGUGGAGCUUUAAACUUAAAUUAACAAAACAUAAAUGUACUAACACCAAGUUUUAGGUUGGGGCGACCAUGAGGUAGAAUACAACCCUCAAGACAAAAGCUAAGAAGGACACUUCAAAUAAUAUUAAUUAACACAAUUGACCCAAUAAUUGAUCAACGAACCAAGUUACCCCAGGGAUAACAGCGCAAUCUACUCAAAGAGCCCUUAUCGACGAGCAGGUUUACGACCUCGAUGUUGGAUCAGGACCCCCAAAUAAUGCAACAGUUAUUAAAGGUUCGUUUGUUCAACGAUUAAAGUCCU
Molecule: ribosomal RNA, 519 nt
Filed under: Pseudoeurycea obesa (ridge-tailed salamander)
Lineage: Eukaryota; Metazoa; Chordata; Amphibia; Caudata; Plethodontidae
Description: partial 16S ribosomal RNA
Rfam family: Bacterial large subunit ribosomal RNA
Source: RNAcentral